UCUCAGUUCAACUACCAUGCAUUGCCGGUCACUCCCUUUAAUUAGCACAAUUCUAAUAUACAAAAUUCUAAGAAUUGAUUUUAAUUAAACUUGAUCUUCCAGUCAGUUGAAUUAUUGAUAAUUUUUCUAAUUUGACUCGUCUUUGUUAAAUUAAUGUCUCUGUGAAGUGUAAACUAAGCAGAAGAAAAGGUCAAAUUUAUACAACAUUACUAGUACAGCUUUGUGACCUCGUAGCUUCUUUACGCAGCACAAAUAUAAGAUAGCUACAACUUACAAGAAGAAUUUGAAAAGCUUGUGCAGCAUCUGAAAAUGCCAACGACAAGUUCGACCACAUCUGAGGGAUGUCAAUGUUGUUGUUUUCAUUUCGGGUGCUUCGCGGGCUUCCGGCUUCCUCUUCCUGCACCUUGUGCCAGAAUAAGACACUGGAUUCACAGUGGAAGAUCAAUCAGAAAUAUUCUUAGAAGUUGUUGCAAAUAAUUUGUUUUACUCUACAUCGUUCAUCAAUUAAUCAAUCAAUUUAACCAUCUCAUCAAUUUUCCUUUCAUUCAUCAGUAGAAAUUAUCCAUCAAUCAAUUAUCCAACGAUCAUUUUACUAUCAAUAGUAACAAUUGUAUUAUUUAAGUAUUAUUUUUCAUUAUUAAUAAAAUAAAUCAAUGAAAAAAUGUCAA
Long non-coding RNA from Eurytemora carolleeae, 668 nucleotides. RefSeq lists it as uncharacterized. The record is from RefSeq and is a predicted model, not a curated record. The transcript has 4 exons. NCBI's taxonomy places the organism in Eukaryota, Metazoa, Arthropoda, Copepoda, Calanoida, Temoridae.